GAUCAGUGAAGAACCUAUCCCAAACCCAAUUGAUUUCUUGAUAAAAAACACAUAUGAGUUGGACUUCUGAGUU
Molecule: small nucleolar RNA, 73 nt
Filed under: Tauraco erythrolophus (red-crested turaco)
Lineage: Eukaryota; Metazoa; Chordata; Aves; Musophagiformes; Musophagidae
Description: Small nucleolar RNA SNORD50
Rfam family: Small nucleolar RNA SNORD50
About the family: U50 belongs to the C/D class of snoRNA which contain the C (UGAUGA) and D (CUGA) box motifs. Most of the members of the box C/D family function in directing site-specific 2'-O-methylation of substrate RNAs.
Source: Rfam by way of RNAcentral